AUACCCUGGUAGUCCUAGCAGUAAACGAUGGGCACUAGGUGUGGGGGGUCAUCAACUCCCUCCGUGCCGCAGCUAACGCAUUAAGUGCCCCGCCUGGGGAGUACGACCGCAAGGUUAAAACUCAAAGGAAUCGACGGGGGCCCGCACAAGCAGCGGAGCAUGUGGCUUAAUUCGACGCAACGCGAAGAACCUUACCAAGGCUUGACAUGCAGGGAAAAGCGGCGGAAACGUCGUGUCCGCAAGGGCCCUGCACAGGUGGUGCAUGGCUGUCGUCAGCUCGUGUCGUGAGAUGUUGGGUUAAGUCCCGCAACGAGCGCAACCCUCGUUCUAUGUUGCCAGCACAUAAUGGUGGGGACUCAUAGGAGACUGCCGGGGUCAACUCGGAGGAAGGUGGGGAUGACGUCAAAUCAUCAUGCCCCUUAUGUUUUGGGCUUCACGCAUGCUACAAUGGCCGGUACAAAGGGCUGCGAUACCGCAAGGUGGAGCGAAUCCCAAAAAGCCGGUCUCAGUUCGGAUUGGGGUCUGCAACUCGAUCCCAUGAAGUCGGAGUCNGCUAGUAAUCGCAGAUCAGCAACGCNGCG
This 581-nucleotide ribosomal RNA is filed under the name uncultured Actinomycetes bacterium. RNAcentral's name for it is "bacterial SSU rRNA". It matches the Rfam family "Bacterial small subunit ribosomal RNA", at positions 782 to 1361 of the family's 1533-position model. Lineage: Bacteria; Bacillati; Actinomycetota; Actinomycetes. The record is from RNAcentral.